Budorcas taxicolor (takin) is the source of this 73-nucleotide non-coding RNA. The record is from the annotation of a RefSeq genome assembly. NCBI's taxonomy places the organism in Eukaryota, Metazoa, Chordata, Mammalia, Artiodactyla, Bovidae.
UCCCUGGUGGUUGAGUGGUUAAGACUCUGUGCUUACAACGCAGGGGAUGUGGGUUCAAUCCCUGGUCAGGGAA